Molecule: ribosomal RNA, 253 nt
Filed under: uncultured bacterium
Lineage: Bacteria
Description: partial 16S ribosomal RNA
Rfam family: Bacterial small subunit ribosomal RNA
Source: RNAcentral
UACGUAGGGUGCGAGCGUUAAUCGGAAUUACUGGGCGUAAAGCGUGCGCAGGCGGCUUUGCAAGACAGAUGUGAAAUCCCCGGGCUCAACCUGGGAACUGCAUUGGUGACUGCAAGGCUAGAGUACGGCAGAGGGGGAUGGAAUUCCGCGUGUAGCAGUGAAAUGCGUAGAUAUGCGGAGGAACACCAAUGGCGAAGGCAAUCCCCUGGGCCUGUGCUGACGCUCAUGCACGAAAGCGUGGGGAGCAAACAGG